AUAUAUCAGAUAUACUUGUCCUCGGGGCUGUAUAUAGCAUACAUCCCUCGUUCUCGUUAUUUCUAACAUAAACACGUUUCGAGCUAUUAACUCUCAUAUUAAUUCCUGCCGUCUUUUGCAGCUGACAGUUGGCCUGAUGUUCUGGACGACAGCAAUGCCCGUACUGACUGGGGAUGGAAAGCACAUUUUGAUUUAACAACUAUGACUAAAACUAUGCUAGAUCUUUUAACACCCAAAUAUAAAUAAAUGGUGGAAAAUAUCCAUUCCAUAAAGUGGAAUAUAAUAACCUUUAAUUCUACUAAAAGUAACAAUUAAUUUAACACUCCAAAUAGCUUAGACCAGCCAAUUUUGCCAAUGAUAACUUUGUACGAAAAUAUGGUGUCAUUCAGUAACGAUUCAGUGAUCGGAAUGUUCCAUUGUUUUUUUUAUUGUUUUGAAACUCUCAUAAGAUAAUUAUCUUUAAGCAUUAAUAUAUGCAGUAAUAUAACAUCAAAGAUUUUAUUUAUAAUUUGCUACCGACUUAAAGUUGUGUAGAGCCUAAUAUGUCAAAAUGUGUCAGGAACAAUGUGUAGGAGUCUUAUUUAAAAAUGAGUUUGUUUAUGUUAUUUAUCCAGAUCGUAACAUUGAAUGUAGAUAUUUAACAAUUUUUACUAGUUAAUUGUGUUGUACACUAACAUAGGAAGACUUUUUUCAACAAUAACCCUUUGUCUUUAUAUAAUUAGUUAUAUUGAAUACAAUUUUUAUAACCAAUGGCAAUGCGGGGUUUAUUUGUGGUGUUUGUAGACCAUAUUCUCUGUUUUAUCAGACAGAAUUCUCCGCGUGAAUUGACCAUUUGCGUAAUAGACUAAAUUUUGAUCUCAACAAAAAUUUCAUUACAGCUUGAAAGAGCAUCACAAAAUUAGUAAUAUUCCAAAGUUUCGUUGCAAAAUGUUGUAAAAUGCGGAUAAUAUAGCCAUGCGAAAUUUGCAAUUUUCAGUCAUUUUAGAUUACAAACCGGAAAUUGACAGCCUUGAAGGGUUUGGGGCUGUCAAUUUCCCGUUUGUAAUCUAAAAUGACUGAAAAU
Molecule: non-coding RNA, 1063 nt
Organism: Paramuricea clavata
Lineage: Eukaryota; Metazoa; Cnidaria; Anthozoa; Malacalcyonacea; Plexauridae
Source: the annotation of a GenBank genome assembly